GACGAACGCUGGCGGCGUGCUUAACACAUGCAAGUCGAACGGAAAGGCCCUGCUUUUGUGGGGUGCUCGAGUGGCGAACGGGUGAGUAACACGUGAGUAACCUGCCCUUGACUUUGGGAUAACUUCAGGAAACUGGGGCUAAUACCGGAUAGGAGCUCCUGCUGCAUGGUGGGGGUUGGAAAGUUUCGGCGGUUGGGGAUGGACUCGCGGCUUAUCAGCUUGUUGGUGGGGUAGUGGCUUACCAAGGCUUUGACGGGUAGCCGGCCUGAGAGGGUGACCGGCCACAGUGGGACUGAUAUACGGCCGGGCCUCCUGCGGGAGGGAGAAGUGGGGGAUAGUGCACAAUGGGCGGAAGUCUGAUGCAGCAACGCCGCGUGCGGGAUGACGGGCUUCGGGGUGUAAAACGCUUUCGCCUGUGACGAAGCGUGAGUGACGGUAAUUGGUAAAGAAGCACCGGCUAACUACGUG
This 468-nucleotide ribosomal RNA is filed under the name uncultured bacterium. RNAcentral's name for it is "partial 16S ribosomal RNA". It matches the Rfam family "Bacterial small subunit ribosomal RNA", at positions 28 to 507 of the family's 1533-position model. The record is from RNAcentral.